AAAUCUACAGAAAGAAUCAACGCGUCUCACUAUUGUGUACAGAAUAUAUUGUACACUUAUAGAGGCAUGAAUAAUAAGUCUGAUUCUCAAAACCGGAUGAGGCUUUAUGCGAAGCGCAUAAAAAAGAAAUUGAUACGAUACAGAAAAUUUGGAAACACGAAUGAAUACCGCCGUAUAUGUAAACAUAUGAAAUGUAUACAUGUAAAUGUAUUAAACAAAUAUGUAUAUAUCGCUGUACAGAUAACUGUAAAUAGAACAGAAUAAAUGUAAAUUUACAAAAAUUA
Molecule: long non-coding RNA, 284 nt
Organism: Temnothorax curvispinosus
Lineage: Eukaryota; Metazoa; Arthropoda; Insecta; Hymenoptera; Formicidae
Exons: 2
Source: RefSeq, a predicted model, not a curated record